This 319-nucleotide long non-coding RNA is filed under the name Helianthus annuus (common sunflower). Its description in RNAcentral is "sRNA HanXRQr2_Chr01g0015761". The record is from RNAcentral. Lineage: Eukaryota; Viridiplantae; Streptophyta; Magnoliopsida; Asterales; Asteraceae.
AUGGUUAUCUGCUUUGUUAAUUAUAUAUUGUUCAAUUCGAUUUGGUUGUUCUACUGCACUUGUCCCGACUAGAGUAUUAGAAGCACUAGAACAACAUUUUAACAACUUGAAGUCUCUUUCGCCAUUACAUAGCCAAUUUAAGACCGAAUCUGUUCACCAAGGGCAAAAAAGUGGCAUGCAACAAAAGUCACGGUGGAGAUCGACAUCAAUAGAUCGUGUAGAAAAGAAACUCCCCCAAGAGUGGACUUAUUAAUACAAACAAAAGAUCGAACUAUUUAUAUUAUUUAACUUGCGAUAAAUAUGCAAGCAAUUAUUGAUG